GAUGAACGCUGGCGGCGUGCCUAAUACAUGCAAGUCGAGCGAACGGACGAGAAGCUUGCUUCUCUGAUGUUAGCGGCGGACGGGUGAGUAACACGUGGAUAACCUACCUAUAAGACUGGGAUAACUUCGGGAAACCGAGCUAAUACCGGAUAAUAUUUUUAACCGCAUGGUUCCAAAGUGAAAGACGGUCUUGCUGUCACUUAUAGAUGGAUCCGCGCUGCAUUAGCUAGUUGGUAAGGUAACGGCUUACCAAGGCAACGAUGCAUAGCCGACCUGAGAGGGUGAUCGGCCACACUGGAACUGAGACACGGUCCAGACUCCUACGGGAGGCAGCAGUAGGGAAUCUUCCGCAAUGGGCGAAAGCCUGACGGAGCAACGCCGCGUGAGUGAUGAAGGUCUUCGGAUCGUAAAACUCUGUUAUUAGGGAAGAACAUAUGUGUAAGUAACUGUGCACAUCUUGACGGUACCUAAUCAGAAAGCCACGGCUAACUACGUG
RNAcentral lists this ribosomal RNA (496 nucleotides) under uncultured bacterium. RNAcentral describes it as "partial 16S ribosomal RNA". It matches the Rfam family "Bacterial small subunit ribosomal RNA", at positions 28 to 507 of the family's 1533-position model. The record is from RNAcentral.